This 69-nucleotide transfer RNA is filed under the name Anarhichas minor (spotted wolffish). Its description in RNAcentral is "tRNA-Glu". It matches the Rfam family "tRNA". Rfam says of the family: Transfer RNA (tRNA) molecules are approximately 80 nucleotides in length. Lineage: Eukaryota; Metazoa; Chordata; Actinopteri; Perciformes; Anarhichadidae. The record is from RNAcentral.
GUUUUUGUAGUUGAAUAACAACGGUGGUUUUUCAAGCCAUUGGUCCUGGUUAAAACCCUGGCAGGAAUU